Molecule: ribosomal RNA, 756 nt
Filed under: cyanobacterium enrichment culture clone 5_RT_5.5.4_C07-T7
Lineage: Bacteria; Bacillati; Cyanobacteriota
Description: bacterial SSU rRNA
Rfam family: Bacterial small subunit ribosomal RNA
Source: RNAcentral
AGAGUUUGAUCCUGGCUCAGGAUGAACGCUGGCGGUCUGCUUAACACAUGCAAGUCGAACGGGAUCCUUCGGGAUUUAGUGGCGGACGGGUGAGUAACGCGUGAGAAUCUGCCCUUAGGUUGGGGACANCAGUUGGAAACGACUGCUAAUACCCAAUGUGCCGAGAGGUGAAAGGUUAACUGCCUGGGGAUGAGCUCGCGUCUGAUUAGCUAGUUGGAGUGGUAACGGCACACCAAGGCGACGAUCAGUAGCUGGUCUGAGAGGAUGAUCAGCCACACUGGGACUGAGACACGGCCCAGACUCCUACGGGAGGCAGCAGUGGGGAAUUUUCCGCAAUGGGCGAAAGCCUGACGGAGCAAGACCGCGUGAGGGAGGAAGGCCUAUUGGUUGUAGACCUCUUUUGAUAGGGAAGAACACAAUGACGGUACCUAUCGAAUCAGCAUCGGCUAACUCCGUGCCAGCAGCCGCGGUAAUACGGAGGAUGCAAGCGUUAUCCGGAUUUAUUGGGCGUAAAGCGUCCGUAGGUGGCAAACCAAGUCAGUUGUUAAAGCGUAGAGCUUAACUCUAUAAGGGCAAUUGAAACUGGUUAGCUAGAGUGCGAUAGGGGCAAGGGGAAUUCCCAGUGUAGCGGUGAAAUGCGUAGAUAUUGGGAAGAACAUCGGUGGCGAAGGCGCCUUGCUGGGUCUGCACUGACACUGAGGGACGAAAGCUAGGGGAGCGAAAGGGAUUAGAUACCCCUGUAGUCCUAGCCGUAAA